GACGAACGCUGGCGGCGUGCUUAACACAUGCAAGUCGAACGGUGAAGGGACCAGCUUGCUGGUUCUGGAUGAGUGGCGAACGGGUGAGUAACACGUGAGUAACCUGCCCCCUUCUUCUGGAUAACCGCAUGAAAGUGUGGCUAAUACGGGAUAUUCUGGGUCUGUCGCAUGGCGGGCCCGGGAAAGAUAUUGCUUCGGUGGGGGAUGGGCUCGCGGCCUAUCAGCUUGUUGGUGGGGUGAUGGCCUACCAAGGCGGUGACGGGUAGCCGGCCUGAGAGGGUGGACGGUCACACUGGGACUGAGACACGGCCCAGACUCCUACGGGAGGCAGCAGUGGGGAAUACUGCACAAUGGGCGCAAGCCUGAUGCAGCGACGCCGCGUGAGGGAUGGAGGCCUUCGGGUUGUAAACCUCUUUCGCCAGUGAAGCAGGCCUGCUCCUUGUGGGUGGGUUGACGGUAGCUGGAUAAGAAGCGCCGGCUAACUACGUG
RNAcentral lists this ribosomal RNA (489 nucleotides) under uncultured bacterium. Its description in RNAcentral is "partial 16S ribosomal RNA". It matches the Rfam family "Bacterial small subunit ribosomal RNA", at positions 28 to 507 of the family's 1533-position model. The record is from RNAcentral.